ACCGUAGGGGGCAAGCGUUGCUCGGAUUCACUGGGUGUAAAGGGCGCGUAGGCGGAUAAACAAGUCGGAUGUGAAAUCCCGGGGCUCAACCCCGGAACUGCAUCCGAAACUGUUUAUCUGGAGUAGUGGAGAGGAAAGCGGAACUCCUGGUGUAACGGUGAAAUGUGUAGAUAUCAGGAGGAACGCCGAUAGCGAAGGCAGCUUUCUGGACACUUACUGACGCUGAGGCGCGAAAGCGUGGGGAGAAAACAGG
Molecule: ribosomal RNA, 253 nt
Filed under: uncultured bacterium
Lineage: Bacteria
Description: partial 16S ribosomal RNA
Rfam family: Bacterial small subunit ribosomal RNA
Source: RNAcentral